RNAcentral lists this ribosomal RNA (463 nucleotides) under uncultured bacterium. Its description in RNAcentral is "partial 16S ribosomal RNA". It matches the Rfam family "Bacterial small subunit ribosomal RNA", at positions 339 to 795 of the family's 1533-position model. The record is from RNAcentral.
CUACGGGGCGCAGCAGUGGGGAAUAUUGCACAAUGGGCGCAAGCCUGAUGCAGCCAUGCCGCGUGUAUGAAGAAGGCCUUCGGGUUGUAAAGUACUUUCAGCGGGGAGGAAGGGAGUAAAGUUAAUACCUUUGCUCAUUGACGUUACCCGCAGCAGAAGCACCGGCUAACUCCGUGCCAGCAGCCGCGGUAAUACGGAGGGUGCAAGCGUUAAUCGGAGUUACUGGGCGUAAAGCGCACGCAGGCGGUUUGUUAAGUCAGUGUGAAAUCCCCGGGCUCAACCUGGGAACUGCAUCUGAUACGGGCAAGCUUGAGUCUCGUAGAGGGGGGUAGAAUUCCAGGUGGAGCGGUGAAAUGCGUAGAGAUCUGGAGGAAUACCGGUGGCGAAGGCGGCCCCCUGGACGAAGACUGACGCUCAGGUGCGAAAGCGUGGGGAGCAAACAGGAUUAGAUACCCCGGUAGUC